GCCAGAUGAUGGGAGCUGAUU
RNAcentral lists this microRNA (21 nucleotides) under Bos taurus (domestic cattle). RNAcentral describes it as "bta-miR-2459". The record is from miRBase by way of RNAcentral. Lineage: Eukaryota; Metazoa; Chordata; Mammalia; Artiodactyla; Bovidae.